RNAcentral lists this ribosomal RNA (561 nucleotides) under uncultured bacterium. RNAcentral describes it as "partial 16S ribosomal RNA". It matches the Rfam family "Bacterial small subunit ribosomal RNA", at positions 355 to 1376 of the family's 1533-position model. The record is from RNAcentral.
UGGGGAAUCUUGCGCAAUGGGCGAAAGCCUGACGCAGCCAUGCCGCGUGAAUGAUGAAGGUCUUAGGAUUGUAAAAUUCUUUCACCGGGGACGAUAAUGACGGUACCCGGAGAAGAAGCCCCGGCUAACUUCGUGCCAGCAGCCGCGGUAAUACGAAGGGGGCUAGCGUUGCUCGGAAUUACUGGGCGUAAAGGGAGCGUAGGCGGACAUUUAAGUCAGGGGUGAAAUCCCGGGGCUCAACCUCGGAAUUGCCUUUGAUACUGGGUGUCUUGAGUGUGAGAGAGGUAUGUGGAACUCCGAGUGUAGAGGUGAAAUUCGUAGAUAUUCGGAAGAACACCAGUGGCGAAGGCGACAUACUGGCUCAUUACUGACGCUGAGGCUCGAAAGCGUGGGGAGCAAACAGGAUUAGAUACCCUGGUAGUCCACGCCGUAAACGAUGAUUGCUAGUUGUCGGGAUGCAUGCAUUUCGGUGACGCAGCUAACGCAUUAAGCAAUCCGCCUGGGGAGUACGGUCGCAAGAUUAAAACUUAAAGGAAUUGACGGGGUCAUAGCUGUUUCCUG